GGAGCUAGGCGUGGAGCUUCUGUAGUGGUAGUGUUCCACACCUCUGCGGAAGUUGGCGCUUUCGAUUUGGCUUU
Molecule: microRNA precursor, 74 nt
Organism: Bos grunniens (domestic yak)
Lineage: Eukaryota; Metazoa; Chordata; Mammalia; Artiodactyla; Bovidae
Source: Ensembl